Long non-coding RNA from Penaeus chinensis, 241 nucleotides. RefSeq lists it as uncharacterized. NCBI's taxonomy places the organism in Eukaryota, Metazoa, Arthropoda, Malacostraca, Decapoda, Penaeidae. The transcript is spliced from 3 exons. The record is from RefSeq and is a predicted model, not a curated record.
UGAUGACAAUCCGAUGUCUCGCCUUCCUUUUGGCAACCUGUAUGAUAGUAUUGCUCGUCCACUACAUAUUCACUCCCCAUUACAGAUCUCAGGCGACAACUACAGUCAAAGUGCGGUCUGAAAAACUUGUUCCAGUGAACGUCGUGGAGGUGGAGGAAUUGCACAGAGUCAGGGCGGAGACCGGGAGCUCGCAAGACCUCGCGGCCGCGAUCCAGCUCCUGAAGGAACAGCGGGAGGCCAG